This 688-nucleotide long non-coding RNA is filed under the name Cucumis sativus (cucumber). RNAcentral's name for it is "long non-coding RNA (CSAT_LNC001779)". The record is from RNAcentral. Lineage: Eukaryota; Viridiplantae; Streptophyta; Magnoliopsida; Cucurbitales; Cucurbitaceae.
GAGUUAUGCACAACCGACAGGCCAUGUCUCUUAGCAGAUGUUACGAGAACGUUUAGAGAGAACGGUUUAAACGUUACAAGAGCAGAAGUAUCCACAUCACAGGAGGUAGCUCUAAACCUGUUCUACGUAACGGAUGGACAUGGGAGCGCUGCAGAUACAAAAAUGAUAGACUCCGUUAGAGAGAAAAUUGGGAUGAGUAACUUGAAAGUAAAAGAAUUACCAUUGGUUUCUCAACAAAAGACAGAAGGGGAGGAGCAAGCAGCGAGUGUAGGUGGGGCUGUUUUGUUAUCUCUCGGGAGCAUAUUGAGAAGGAAUCUCUACAACUUGGGAUUAAUCAGGUCAUACUCGUAGGCAUAGAGGCAGAGAGAGAGAGAGAGAAGAAAAGAAAAACCAAUAGAGUUAUUGAAAAAUUUGUCCAUAUGUCUACCUUUUCCGAUAGCAUAUUCUUUGCUUGAAGUUUGAGCAUAAUAGUUAGUGUACAUAAAAGAAUCAAACAUUGGAAGGAAAGAAAGGAGUUGGGUACUUUGUUGAUAGUUAAUUUGUUUUAAAGAAGUUGGUGGAAUUAUUUCUGAUGGAAAAGAGAAGAGAGGAGAGAAGAAAGGUUUAAAAUGGGUAAAGAGUAGUGUUUAUUAUGGUGUGUGGUCUGACAUGUGCUGCUGCUGCUACUAGCUGGCGGACCAAUGUUUGG